Molecule: long non-coding RNA, 832 nt
Filed under: Mytilus galloprovincialis (Mediterranean mussel)
Lineage: Eukaryota; Metazoa; Mollusca; Bivalvia; Mytilida; Mytilidae
Source: RNAcentral
GUGUUUCUUUAAGUUUACACUUAUAUAGCAGAUUAUUUGUGCUUAAAGUUCUUUGCAGAAUUUUGUAUUGAAAAAUGAUCAUUUUAUUACUCAAAGAACACUUGAAAGGAUGCAUAUAGAAAAGAUCCCAGUGAGCUAUUUCCAUAUGCAAAAUUUCUUUCCAUUUAUUUUGUGAUUUUGUGGGGUUUUUAUGAUAAGUAGCCAAAAAUAAUUUAUAAAAAUAUGGGCAUGAUUUCUGAUUUGUUUUCAAAAAGUCUAAAUUAUCGCAAGUAAUGUUGAUUUUCUUUUCACAGUUUUUGAUCUGGUCCUUCCAACUACUUGGGAUCAUAUGAUAUAUACCAUAGAAUUGAAGAAAAUUUGUAUCGAUAUCAUAUGUUUCUUUAAAUUGAUUAAAAGAGAGAAAUUCAUUGUUCUCAUUCAGUAAAUCAUUGACAAAAAAUAUUCCUGCCUCACACCAUUUUUCAUAAAAAAUAGUUUUAUUAUCAAUUUUUAAAAGUUUAUUAAACCAAAUAGGUUGGCCCAUUAAAUCAUUAUGGUCAUGGGAAGCAUUCCUCAGUUUAGCCCAAUUUAGAAGGAUGUCCUUCCAAAAUCUAUUAAAAUAUAUUGAAAUUUGUUCAAUACUAUCCUUAUUCAUCAUCCAUAUUUUAUCUGCCCCAUAUUUUCUAUACUUAUCAUUAAAAAGAAUUUUCCAAGGAGAAAGAUUGAAAGGGUCUAAUAAUUUAUAGAUCCAUGUCAUUUUUAAUGAAUAACAGAAGGAUUCAAUAUGAGGCAUCUUUAGUCCUCCAGUAUCAUAUGAUCCAAUUAGUACAUUUCUUUUGAUUUUAUCUGGUUU